GCCACUGCUAUUGGGGUUCGGCUAAGCCAUGCGAGUGGAGGGCGUCCCGCAAGGGAUGGCCCCGCAGACGGCUCAGUAACACGUCGUCAACCCACCUUAGGGUGGGGGACAACCUCGGGAAACUGAGGAUAAUCCCCAUAGGCGGGGGAGGCUAGAAUGCGCCCCCGCUGAAAGCUCAGGCGCCCUAGGACGGGACGGCGGCCUAUCAGGUAGUUGGUGGUGUGACG
This 227-nucleotide ribosomal RNA is filed under the name uncultured archaeon. Its description in RNAcentral is "partial 16S ribosomal RNA". It matches the Rfam family "Archaeal small subunit ribosomal RNA", at positions 23 to 246 of the family's 1478-position model. The record is from RNAcentral.